This 418-nucleotide long non-coding RNA is filed under the name Gallus gallus (chicken). RNAcentral describes it as "lncRNA (ENSGALG00010011087.1)". The record is from RNAcentral. Lineage: Eukaryota; Metazoa; Chordata; Aves; Galliformes; Phasianidae.
GGAUCUUCUCAUGAAUGUGCAGGAUCUGAGCUAUCCACAGAAGAAAGAAAAUACCACAGCUGCAGCAGAGACACUGAGGUGGCUGUUGUUUGCACUGAAACCAAUGACUUGGGCACUGAAACAAAGUGACCCCAUAGAAAUAAAGAACUGCUGCCCAGCGAGUGACAGGGGCAGAAUUUGGUCCUCAGAAAGAAAAAGUGCAGCACAGAGAUGUUGAAAGGUCAUUACAUUACAAAUUGGAAGUUGCUCAGUAGUUAUCCCAAUUUCUGUUCCUUCUUCAAACAGAAGUCCAACAAAAUCUGAGCUCCCAACAACAAAUGCCAUCCUCUGGGAAAAAUCUCCUCCUGCUGCCUCCAAACAACCCACAGGUUUGACAGGAAAUCAAUCACUAGCACUGCAAGAGCAUUUUAAAGAAAAU